CUAAUAAAGAAUGGUUUUAAAGAAAUUGUCGGUUGAUGCCCACAUCACCUGCUUGGGUUGAAGUGAACCAAGCUAAAAAUGAAUAAAAAUGGACAAAUAUACUGUUGGCAGCCAUUGAGUUAGAAACACACUAGGAAUCAUCAGUCUUCGGCUGGCAAGGGAAAUAAAGACAAACAAUUUGAUCUAGCUAAAUGAUAAAAGAAUGUGUAAGGCAGAACAGCAAAGACAGUGAAAAGGAAUGCUAUGUGCAAACAGAUGAAGGAUGAAAUCAUGAAAAAAUGCCAUGCAAAGGAAAAAUAAUAAUUGAACUUGAUAAGUGUUCUUCUUUAAAUGUUAGCCAAAUUGUUUUUUUUAAUUGUAUACAUAAA
Molecule: long non-coding RNA, 368 nt
Organism: Dendronephthya gigantea
Lineage: Eukaryota; Metazoa; Cnidaria; Anthozoa; Malacalcyonacea; Nephtheidae
Exons: 3
Source: RefSeq, a predicted model, not a curated record